AUGAUGAAGGACGGCGGCAGCCAGGCGGGCGGGUGCCUCUGCAUCGGCGCGCCGAUGCGCGCGCUGUGGCGGGUGUGCGACUCCGCCUGCGACCUCUACGUGCGCGGCAUGUCCGGGUGCGCCACCCGCGUGCCGGCGGGGGCAGUCGCGGGCGGCCGCGGCUCCGGCUUUGUCAGAUCGGCCACGACGGUGCACCUGUGGACGAGUUCGGACCGCGCUGACGACCUCAUCCGCGCCGCGUCAACGAAGCAGCGCCGCGUGGCGACGGCCGAUCAGCCGGCGGAUGUCGGGGCGGCAAAGAAGGGCCGCCUUGGCCCGGUGGUGCCCACGAUCGUGCCGGCUCGGAGGAAGGGCCCGGCGAUGGCGACCAUCGCCGAGAACGGGCCGUGCGACUUUGGCGCCUGCGCGCUGACGCCACCGGACCUGAGGAGGCGCGCCCCGCGGUCGGCGGGCAGGGCGCGCCUGGCGGUGGGUUUGUCGCCGUCAUGGCGGGGAUCGAGGCCUUCGCGGCUCGAUCGU
Molecule: ribosomal RNA, 519 nt
Filed under: Triticum aestivum (bread wheat)
Lineage: Eukaryota; Viridiplantae; Streptophyta; Magnoliopsida; Poales; Poaceae
Description: partial small subunit ribosomal RNA
Source: RNAcentral